GAAGCCAUCGAUAAACCUACGUAUGCUACAAAGUGGCCGAUACGACAUGGAAUCAUUGAAGACUGGGAUCUUAUGGAAAGGUUCAUGGAGCAAGUGGUUUUUAAAUAUCUUCGAGCUGAACCUGAGGACCAUUAUUUUUUAAUGGGGUAACUAUCUCCUUCCUGCUGUAAUCAGUGACCAGACAGAACCUCCACUCAAUACACCAGAAAACAGAGAGUAUCUUGCAGAAAUUAUGUUUGAAUCAUUUAACGUACCAGGACUCUACAUUGCAGUUCAGGCAGUGCUGGCCUUGGCGGCAUCUUGGACAUCUCGACAAGUG
Molecule: small RNA, 319 nt
Filed under: Pan troglodytes (chimpanzee)
Lineage: Eukaryota; Metazoa; Chordata; Mammalia; Primates; Hominidae
Description: processed transcript
Source: RNAcentral